AAAAAACGGUCAACCCCGUUUCACAUUAACGGAAAGGAAUGACAUUGCAAUGCAAUAAUCUCAUUUGUCUCGAUUGGACAUCAAACAUUCAGACCCCAAAACCCUACCGCUAUCUGAUCGAUAGUCGCAUAUUCGUCAUCAUCGGAUUCAUCGACAAUGGUGACCUCCGGCAAGAAGACGAAGAAGACCCACGAGAGCAUAAACAAUAGGCUGGCUUUGGUGAUGAAUACGCCCUUUCUUGUUCCUUUUGUUGAUUUUUGUAUUCUGAAAAUGUCUGAGAUCGAGUAUUAUACCAUGCUUGCCAGGGUUGGGGUUCAUCAUUAUAAUUGAAGUGAGUUGCUGAUCAUUACCUUAUGUUAACUGGAAUUUGGGUGAUGAAUCGUGGAUGGUUAUUCUUGCCCUCUGUAAUGUAUGCAAUGGUAAGCAGGAUGGGGGCUAUAAUGCUGACAUAAAAUUUCUAAUAUCUACUAAUUUCUUUAUACUUGAGCUUUGAUAAAGAUCAGCACUUGUAAUGUGCUGCCUAUGUUUAAAUCUGAAGUUUAUUGGGUUUUGUUGAAUUAGUAGCAUUAAAAGAACUUGAUUCUGGUUGGAUAAGUAGUUUGUGAACCCACAUCUUUGCUUAGUGGAUGCUUUCUGGAAUAAGCAUCCUUUUUAAAUAUAUAUAUAGGGGAAUAGGGGAAUAGGGGAAUGUAAAGGCAAAUACUAUAGAAAUCUGGGCAUAAUCCACAACAUCAGCAAAAAGAGUCAGGCUUAAACCCUUUGGUGGUCUCUCGAGGAUUAGUAAGCAUAAGCGAGAAUGGUAAUUGUGUAUUGCCAUCCAGUCUGCAUAGAAGGAAUAAGCGUUUUUUUUUUUUUUUUAAAUAAGCAUUCUUUUUGCUUAUUGGUAUUUGGACAAUUUGUUGUUGAAAAGGCUUUAAUGCUGGGUAUUUAUGCUCUCUACUUCAUUAUUGUGUCUUUCGCAUGUUGCAACUGGUAUAUUACCCUGCAUUCCUUGUGUCCUCGUGUUGUUUAUAUGUGCAGACAAUGUUGAUCUGGGGACAGCUUGUGGCAAAUAUUUCCGGGUCUCUUGUCUUAGCAUUAUUGAUCCAGGUGAUUCUGAUAUCAUCAAGCCUCUUCCUGGAGAGCAGUAAGAGCUUAGUGUCAAUGAGCUACUGGAAUUGUGUUUUAUCCAGGAUUAUAUUAAAUCAUUUAUGGUGUUGACUGUUGAGAAUUUUGUGAUAGAGCCCUUCUUUUUGCC
This is an RNA transcript of Ipomoea triloba (trilobed morning glory), 1237 nucleotides long. RefSeq lists it as uncharacterized. The record is from RefSeq and is a predicted model, not a curated record. The transcript is spliced from 4 exons. Lineage: Eukaryota; Viridiplantae; Streptophyta; Magnoliopsida; Solanales; Convolvulaceae.